GAUGAACGCUGGCGGCGUGCCUAAUACAUGCAAGUCGAGCGAACAGAUAAGGAGCUUGCUCCUUUGAAGUUAGCGGCGGACGGGUGAGUAACACGUGGGUAACCUACCUAUAAGACUGGGAUAACUUCGGGAAACCGGAGCUAAUACCGGAUAACAUUUAGAACCGCAUGGUUCUAAAGUGAAAGAUGGUUUUGCUAUCACUUAUAGAUGGACCCGCGCCGUAUUAGCUAGUUGGUAAGGUAACGGCUUACCAAGGCGACGAUACGUAGCCGACCUGAGAGGGUGAUCGGCCACACUGGAACUGAGACACGGUCCAGACGCCUACGGGAGGCAGCAGUAGGGAAUCUUCCGCAAUGGGCGAAAGCCUGACGGAGCAACGCCGCGUGAGUGAUGAAGGGGUUCGGCUCGUAAAACUCUGUUAUGAGGGAAGAACAAAUGUGUAAGUAACUGUGCACAUCUUGACGGUACCGAAUCAGAAAGCCACGGCUAACUACGUG
This 497-nucleotide ribosomal RNA is filed under the name uncultured bacterium. Its description in RNAcentral is "partial 16S ribosomal RNA". It matches the Rfam family "Bacterial small subunit ribosomal RNA", at positions 28 to 507 of the family's 1533-position model. The record is from RNAcentral.